This 396-nucleotide long non-coding RNA is filed under the name Pan troglodytes (chimpanzee). RNAcentral describes it as "long non-coding RNA NONPTRT017203". The record is from RNAcentral. Lineage: Eukaryota; Metazoa; Chordata; Mammalia; Primates; Hominidae.
UAAAUAACUGGAGGGCACAUGUCUUGCUAACUAUAACUAUUCAGAUGCCAAUCAGAGGCUCACUAGCCUUACAAAUAUCAAUCUCAUGUGUUCUCUGUACUAUGUAUGUUCUCAGAAGACUAAUGAGUUACAUUAGAUAUACAUAAUAAAGCCCCGUAUAAGAGUGCAUUUUCCCACUACCUGGGUGACAUAGCAGUGCAUACAAUGUGAAAGAAACCUAGAGAAAGUUCUGUAAGGACAUCAGAUACUGCUAUAUUGGUUUUAGGCAAUCUAGGCACUAAAAUUAUGAUGCUGCUUUACAGGUAGCAUAUACUGUGGCAAAUUACCUAUGUAAAAGAAAUAUUUAAACUGCUUAUUCUUGUUUUUUAUGUACAGAUUUUAGAAAUAUUAAAAUUU